GCGGCCGUGGCGGAACUGGCAGACGCGUAAGAUUAAGGAUCUUAUGGUCGAUUAUGACCGUGGAGGUUCAAGUCCUCUCGGCCGCACUA
Molecule: transfer RNA, 89 nt
Filed under: Limosilactobacillus reuteri
Lineage: Bacteria; Bacillati; Bacillota; Bacilli; Lactobacillales; Lactobacillaceae
Also listed under: 20 other names
Description: tRNA-Leu
Rfam family: tRNA
About the family: Transfer RNA (tRNA) molecules are approximately 80 nucleotides in length. Their secondary structure includes four short double-helical elements and three loops (D, anti-codon, and T loops).
Source: RNAcentral